This 253-nucleotide ribosomal RNA is filed under the name uncultured bacterium. RNAcentral's name for it is "partial 16S ribosomal RNA". It matches the Rfam family "Bacterial small subunit ribosomal RNA", at positions 524 to 776 of the family's 1533-position model. The record is from RNAcentral.
UACAGAGGGUGCAAGCGUUAAUCGGAAUUACUGGGCGUAAAGCGUGCGCAGGCGGUUUUGUAAGACAGGCGUGAAAUCCCCGGGCUCAACCUGGGAAUUGCGCUUGUGACUGCAAAGCUGGAGUGCGGCAGAGGGGGAUGGAAUUCCGCGUGUAGCAGUGAAAUGCGUAGAUAUGCGGAGGAACACCGAUGGCGAAGGCAAUCCCCUGGGCCUGCACUGACGCUCAUGCACGAAAGCGUGGGGAGCAAACAGG